This 253-nucleotide ribosomal RNA is filed under the name uncultured bacterium. RNAcentral's name for it is "partial 16S ribosomal RNA". It matches the Rfam family "Bacterial small subunit ribosomal RNA", at positions 524 to 776 of the family's 1533-position model. The record is from RNAcentral.
UACGUACGAGGCGAGCGUUAUCCGGAAUUAUUGGGCGUAAAGCGCGCGCAGGUGGCUUGUUAAGUAGGGCGUGAAAUCUCCCGGCCUAACUGGGAGGGGUCGCCCUAGACUGGGAGGCUUGAGGCUGGCAGAGGUAGGUGGAAUUCCUGGUGUAGUGGUGAAAUGCGUAGAGAUCAGGAGGAACACCGGUGGCGAAGGCGGCCUACUGGGCCAGCACUGACGCUGAGGUGCGAAAGCGUGGGGGGCAAACAGG